AAAAAAAUGACAGCGCUCGGCGUCUUCAGGCUUCAGAACCGUUGAUCAAGGACGAUGAGCUUGAGAGCUGAAUCCGGACGGAUCGGACUGCGUCGACGACGAUAAACAGCAGUGCCUGCAUGCUCUGUUGUGCAGCCGUACGUGCCGUGCGCCGGUGUAUGUCUGCAUGCGCAGUACUUAUUUUCUGAAGCAGGUAUAUACAAUAUACUAGCUAGUACACUGUGGUAUCUGCAACGUAGUACUGAUCUGGAUUCUCCAUGUUGGCGUGUAUACUCUCUUUUCUUCACAGGAUCAAGUUCAUGCACUGAGCACCAGAUCAGAUUCAGCCACCGAUCGAGGGAGAGGGAGUGCCGGAGCCGGAGCAGGACAGGGGGCGGCGACGUCCCACGUGCACGGCGAUCUCAAUUAUAUUCUCAUGCAUGCAGCGGACACCGGAUCGAGGAAGCGCGGCAAAGCCUCGUGAUUUCGAUCGGACGCCCCGAUCGCAUCGCAUCGCAUCGCAUCGCAUCGCAGCAGUGCGCAAGGGCAGAACCGCAGGGCAUGGCGCCCGAACGGAGCCCAUCAGCGCCCAGUCGAUCGGCAAGCCCAGAGCGAGCUUCAAAGUUUUGCUAGCUUCGUGCCGAAUUCAUGUCCAUGGAUAUCGGAAUGUGCAUGCAGCAGUUGUUGCCGGGCAAUUGAUGCAGACAACUCUUUUUUUUUUUUCAAAUAUCCGGGUUUAUUUAUAUAUAUACGAGAUACAAUAGAUAGCUUUGG
RNAcentral lists this long non-coding RNA (753 nucleotides) under Zea mays. RNAcentral describes it as "long non-coding RNA (ZMAY_LNC002584)". Lineage: Eukaryota; Viridiplantae; Streptophyta; Magnoliopsida; Poales; Poaceae. The record is from RNAcentral.